UUGCAGAUUAAAAGUGUGAUUGAAGAGUUGGGAAGGCUUCCAAAAGUAAUUCACAGUAACUUGUGGGUAGACUGAGUGAGGUUAGAUUAUGAUGCAGUUGUGAUGGGAGAGGAAAGACCCAGGCCAUUUCUUCCCGUCUUGGAUAGGGAUAUCUAUGGUGGUUAGCCUAUGCCUGUUCCAACAUUGUAUGUUGGGGGUGGGGUCAGAUGACUUUCUCUUUAGUUUACAGGUCUUCAGAAGAAGAGGAGCCCAGGCACGGUGGCUCAUGCCUGUAAUCCCAGCACUUUGGGAGGUCGAGGUGGGAGAAUCAGCUGAGUUCAGGAGUUCAAGACCAGCCUGACCAACAUGGUGAAACCUCAUCUCUACUAAAAAUACAAAAAGUAGCCAGGCAUGGUGGUGGACACCUGUAAUCCCAGCUACUCAGGAGGCUGAGGCAGGAGAAUCGCUUGAACCCCAGAGGCAGAGAUUGCAGUGACCUGAGAUCGUGCCACUGCACUCCAGCCUGGGCAACAGAGUGAAACUUCUUUAAAAAAGAAAAAAAAAAAGAAGAGGAGGAAUUGUAUUCUGGAAGUAUACUUAAGGUAAUACAGUUGAGAAAUCUCAUCUAUACAUGGACCUGAUUUAGAUGAUGAAAUUCUAGACUUUGAGCUGAUGCUAUAAUGGGAUUCGACUUUGGGGUAGCUUGAGAGGGAGCGAGUGUAUUUUGCAUGUGGAAGGAAUGUAAAUCACCAGAAUUCAGAGGGCAUGCUCGUGGUGGCCAUUCUUUAAAACAUCCCCCAGUGAUUCCGACCUCCUGAUAUGCAUGCCUUUCCAUAGUCUCCUACAUUGUGUCUGGGUUGGUCUGCAAAGCCAAUGCAGUAUGAAAUGAUGUGUGUGACUUCCAAAGCUAGGUCCUAAAAGACAUUAGGGCUUUCCGUCUCCUCCCUCCCCACUCUCCCUCUUUCUUGUUCUGCUUUCUCUGAGAGAAAUUAACUACUAUGUCAUGAGGUCACUCAAGAAACUCUAUGGAGAGGUCCACGUGGCAAGGAACUGAGCCCUCCUGCUACGAGCCAGUGAGGAACUGAACCCUCCAACUACCAACCACGUGGGGCAGCCAUCUUGGAAACAGAUCCUCCUGCCCCGGUUAAGACUUCAGAUGACUACAGCCAAUCUCUUGACUGAAACCUCAUAAGACUCUUGAACUAGAACCAACUGACUCCCAAAACUGUGUAAGGUGAUGUCCACUGGUCACUUAUGUGUACCCUCUCUGUCCCGAUAUGGCUCCAGGACACUGACAUCAGAUGAUAUUUCCAAGGUAAGUGCAGAGAAGACCCUGGAUGUGGACUUUGCUUCUCCAUGGGCCUCCUAAUGCCUGGGUUUUUGAAACUCAAAAAUCCAAAACUGAGCUCAAGUGCAGUAAGCCCCAGCUGAGAUUAUGAAAGUACCAGGAUCAUAAAGAUACAUGUGUCCACUGGGUGCAGUGGCUCCUACCUGGAAUCCCAGCACUUUUGGAGUCUGAGGCGAGAGGAUCACUUGAGCUCAGGAGACCAGCCUGGGCAACAUCGUGAGAUUCUGUCUCUACAAAAAUAAAAAUUGGCCGGGUGCGGUGGCUCACGCCUGUAAUCCCAGCACUUUGGGAGGCCAAGGCGGGUGGAUCACCUGAGGUUGGGAGUUCGAGACCAGCCUGGCCAACAUAAUGAAACCCUGUCUCUAAUAAAAAUACAAAAAUUAGCCGAGCAUGGUGGUGGGCAACUAUAGUCCUAGCUACUUGGGAGGCUGAGGCAUGAGAAUCACUUGAACCCAGGAGGCAGAGGUUGCAAUGAUCCGAGAUCGUGGCCACUGCACUGCAGCCUAGGUGACAGAGCGAGACUCCAUCUCAAAAAAUAAAAACAAAAAUAAAAAAUAUUAGCUGGGCAUGAUGGUGUUUGCCUGUAAUCCCAGCUGUGUGGGAAGCUGAGAUGCAAGGAUCACUUCAGCCCAGGAGUUCGAGGCUGCAGUGAGCUAUGAUUGUGCCUGUGAACUCCAGCCUGGACAACAGAGGGAGACCCUGUCUCUGAAAAAACAAAAUCAAAAAAAUAUGUUAAUAUCGUACUUUACAAGUAUUAUUUUGUCAAAGUGGUGUCGAGAAUGUCAAAUAUUGCUUCUCAGCUGGGCGCGGUGGCUCACGCCUGGAAUCCCAAUGCUUUGGGAGGCUGAGGCGGAUCACCUGAUCAGGUCAGGAGUUCGAGACCAGCCUGGCCAACAUGGUGAAACCCCAUCUCUACUAAAAAUACAAAAAUUAGCCAGUCAUGAUGGUGCGCACCUGUGAUCCCAGCUACUUGGGAGGCUGAGGCAGGAGAAUGGCUUGAACCUGGGAGGUGGAGCUUGCAGUGAGCCGAGAUUGCGCCACUGCACUCCAGCCUGGGCAACAGAGCGAGACUGUGUCUCAAAACAAAACAAAGAACAUGUCACUGAAAUGUAGGCCUGAGGGAAAGAAGCAAACGAUCAGUGGAAUUUUUUUCUGCCCAGUGUUAAAAAUUGAAAUUGACCUCCAAGCUGUCAAUGCCUUCAACUCUACCAUUGCCCAACAAUUCUCAAAAAGAUACAGGGUUUGGACAUCAGACUUCAGAUAAACAUACUCCCACAAGCAGGAGGAAAAACCACUCUGCCCGUGUGGGUUAAGGCUAGAGGAGCUUUAGAUGAACAAAAGCACCAAAUAAUAUGGAAUGCAGUUUGGAAAACAAGGAUCGGUUAGAGGAAGAUGGUAAUUUACAGAGGAGCUUCACUGGGAAAAUUCAGACUUCAGAAUAAGCUGAAGAUCUUCCUGAAUUCACACAAGAGAGGGAGAGGGUAUCUUCUACCUUAGAAAAUAAAAUAAAACAGAGUUGUUCCUGGAGGAACCACCUUAGAUUUUGGAGCAGAAAUUGAUGUGAAUCUGGCUCAGCCUCUAAGGGCAAAUUCUCAACAAUCAAGAUGUCAGGGAGUGGGGUUCAGUGGUCCUCCCACUUCUGAUUUCCUAAGAACAAGCUGAUUGGAGGCUGUUGGCGCCGAGAAGCUAUAAGCAGAACUAGAAGCAGAGCAGGCUAUAUGAUUGAUUAGGGGUGCAUAUUUGCCUUUCUCAGUUGGUCCUAAGUGGAAGUGGAGACAGAAAUGAAGAAAUCUGGCAGUUAUUGACCAAGCCCUUACUGUUUGAGGCCAAUUGCUGUAGAGGAUUUGUUUGGCUUCCUUCCAGGGCUGGUUGCUACAGAGGUUAUGGGACAAAGGUCUGUGUUUAUAUUUGAUUCUGUCCAUUGUCCUUUUGUAUAGUCAGUCUCUCACUAGCGAUGUAUGACAGUUCCAGCUGCUCUGUAUUCUCACCAGUACUUGGUACUGUUUGUUUUGGAU
Molecule: long non-coding RNA, 3342 nt
Filed under: Homo sapiens (human)
Lineage: Eukaryota; Metazoa; Chordata; Mammalia; Primates; Hominidae
Description: HSALNT0236245
Source: RNAcentral